GCUGGAAUAGCUCAGUUGGUUAGUGUGUGUGGCUCUAACCACAAGGUCAGAGGUUCAACCCUUCCUUUUAGCG
Molecule: transfer RNA, 73 nt
Filed under: Medicago truncatula (barrel medic)
Lineage: Eukaryota; Viridiplantae; Streptophyta; Magnoliopsida; Fabales; Fabaceae
Rfam family: tRNA
About the family: Transfer RNA (tRNA) molecules are approximately 80 nucleotides in length. Their secondary structure includes four short double-helical elements and three loops (D, anti-codon, and T loops). Further hydrogen bonds mediate the characteristic L-shaped molecular structure. tRNAs have two regions of fundamental functional importance: the anti-codon, which is responsible for specific mRNA codon recognition, and the 3' end, to which the tRNAs corresponding amino acid is attached (by aminoacyl-tRNA synthetases). tRNAs cope with the degeneracy of the genetic code in two manners: having more than one tRNA (with a specific anti-codon) for a particular amino acid; and 'wobble' base-pairing, i.e. permitting non-standard base-pairing at the 3rd anti-codon position.
Source: Rfam by way of RNAcentral